Molecule: ribosomal RNA, 513 nt
Filed under: uncultured bacterium
Lineage: Bacteria
Description: partial 16S ribosomal RNA
Rfam family: Bacterial small subunit ribosomal RNA
Source: RNAcentral
UCCUACGGGAGGCAGCAGUAGGGAAUCUUGCACAAUGGGCGAAAGCCUGAUGCAGNGNGCCGNGUGAGGGGAAGNCNUUCGGGUUGUAAACCUCUGUCCUCGGGGAAGAGAAAGGACGGUACCCCAGGAGGAAGCCCCGGCUAAUUACGUGCCAGCANCCGCGGUAAGACGUAGGGGGCGAGCGUUGUCNGGAAUCACUGGGCGUAAAGGGUGCGUAGGCGGCUUCUUAAGUCCUGUGUGAAAUGCCCCGGCUCAACCGGGGAGGGCCAUGGGAAACUGGGGAGCUCGAGUGCCGGAGAGGGCCGUGGAAUUCCAGGUGUAGCGGUGGAAUGCGUAGAUAUGGAGGAACACCAGUGGCGAAGGCGGCGGCCUGGACGGUUACUGACGCUGAGGCACGNCAGCUGGGGGAGCAAACAGGAUUAGAUACCCUGGUAGUCCCAGCCGUAAACGAUGAGUGCUAGGUGUNGNGGCUCGNCCCCUUCAGUGCCGUAGCAAACGCANAGCACNCCNCNG